GCUGGCGUAGCUCAGCUGGUAGAGCAGCGGUUUCGUAAACCGCAGGUCGACAGUUCAAAUCUGUCCGCCAGCU
RNAcentral lists this transfer RNA (73 nucleotides) under Candidatus Omnitrophota bacterium. RNAcentral's name for it is "tRNA-Thr". It matches the Rfam family "tRNA". Rfam says of the family: Transfer RNA (tRNA) molecules are approximately 80 nucleotides in length. Their secondary structure includes four short double-helical elements and three loops (D, anti-codon, and T loops). Further hydrogen bonds mediate the characteristic L-shaped molecular structure. tRNAs have two regions of fundamental functional importance: the anti-codon, which is responsible for specific mRNA codon recognition, and the 3' end, to which the tRNAs corresponding amino acid is attached (by aminoacyl-tRNA synthetases). tRNAs cope with the degeneracy of the genetic code in two manners: having more than one tRNA (with a specific anti-codon) for a particular amino acid; and 'wobble' base-pairing, i.e. permitting non-standard base-pairing at the 3rd anti-codon position. The record is from RNAcentral. Lineage: Bacteria; Pseudomonadati; Candidatus Omnitrophota.